GAUAGUGAUUACCGAUAAACAUUACACAAUGAUAGUAUGGAUGUAAUAAACAACAAAUAAAAUUAUAGGAUGCAUGUUACCAUACCUGCCUGGGCAGGGAGUGGGAGGCAGCGAGGCUAGCAGCAAAUGAGCUCAAUGUUAGUCAGGCCACAUAGUUCCCCGCCGAGAAUAUGAAUAUCCUCACACUUUAUGACACAACUUAAAGUAAUCUGGAGUGUGUGGAAAUGGUGUUUCUCCGCCAUGGUUGCCCGUUGUAUCUGUCUCCAGGCACAACGCCUCAAAACGCAAAUGUGCAUAGAGCAUUUACCACUUAAAAUAACCAAUACUUUCAUCUCUGGUAAUAUCCGCAGAAACUCGUGUCACACCCUGCGUGUGACACACACACACACACACACACACACACAGAGAGAGAGAGAGAGAGAGAGAGAGAGAGAGAGAGAGAGAGAGAGAGAGAGAGAGAGAGAGAGAGAGAGAGAGAGAGAGAGAGAGAGAGAAUACAAGCUAUCUCAUUGGACAUACAUCUAAAUUGGUGUACACAAGCCUUACCUAAUAUGUGUAUGGAUGUCUGAGCAUAUACCAGCAUCUGUUAUGAGUCUGUGUGUGUGUGUGUGUGUGUGUACCAGCCUUACCAAGUGUGUGUGUGUUUCUAAGUGUACACCAGUGUUUGCGUACAAGUUUACAUGUGUACACCAGCCUUACCCCUCCAGACCCACCUAUGGCAUACAGCGUCAGUCCAGAGUACAGCCCCAGGUUGGUCUCGUUAGCCCCGAUGAGGAUGAAAGCAGGAAUCAUCAUCAUUAGGCCCUGUGGAUGGUGAGGGUGGUACAGCAGGCAGUGGUGGGUUAAAUAAUAUUGUUACUGAUAAAUUCUGUUGUUUUAUAUUAUAAUUAUUUGGCUACACAGUAAAAAUAUAGAUUUGAAAA
Molecule: long non-coding RNA, 923 nt
Organism: Scylla paramamosain (green mud crab)
Lineage: Eukaryota; Metazoa; Arthropoda; Malacostraca; Decapoda; Portunidae
Exons: 2
Source: RefSeq, a predicted model, not a curated record